AUCAAAAAAUGUCAUAGUAUAGUAAGAUGUCAAAAAUGGUCAAAAAAUGUCAUAGUAUAGUAAGGUGUCAAAAAUGGUCAAAAAAUGUCAUAGUAUAGUAAGACAUCAAAAAACAUCAAAAAAUGUCAUAGUAUAGUAAGAGGUCAAAAAUGGUCAAAAAAUGUCAUAGUAUAGUAUGACGUCAAAAAUGGUCAAAAAAUGUCAUAGUAUAGUAAGGCGUCAAAAAACAUCAAAAAAUGUCAUAGUAUGGUAAGGCGUCAAAAAUGGUCAAAAAAAUGUCAUAGUAUAGUAAGGCGUCAAAAAUGGUCAAAAAAUGUCAUAGUAUAGUAUGACGUCAAAAAACAUCAAAAAAUGUCAUAGUAUAGUAAGGUGUCAAAAAACAUCAAAAAAUGUCAUAGUAUAGUAAGGCGUCAAAAAUGGUCAAAAAAUGUCAUAGUAUAGUAAGGUGUCAAAAAACAUCAAAAAAUGUCAUAGUAUAGUAAGGCGUCAAAAAUGGUCAAAAAAUGUCAUAGUAUAGUAAGAUGUCAAAAAUAGUCAAAAAAUGUCAUAGUAUAGUAAGGCGUCAAAAAUGGUCAAAAAAUGUCAUAGUAUAGUAUGGCGUCAAAAAUGUCAUAAAAAUGUCAUAGUAUAGUAUGGCGUCAAAAAUGUCAUAAAAAUGUCAUAGUAUAGUAAGAUGUCAAAAAUGGUCAAAAAAUGUCAUAGUAUAGUAAGGCGUCAAAAAUAGUCAAAAAAUGUCAUAGUAUAGUAAGGCGUCAAAAAUAGUCAAAAAAUGUCAUAGUAUAGUAAGGCGUCAAAAACUAUGAAAAAAUGUCAUAGUAUGUUGUGAAAAAUGGUCAAAAAAUGUCAUAGUAUG
Lates calcarifer (barramundi perch) is the source of this 853-nucleotide long non-coding RNA. RefSeq lists it as uncharacterized. The record is from RefSeq and is a predicted model, not a curated record. Lineage: Eukaryota; Metazoa; Chordata; Actinopteri; Centropomidae. The transcript is spliced from 3 exons.